AAAAGUUGCUCUGCUUUGGGAUAAACUCGGGAUCAAUGGAGCUGUGGGGAUGGUGAUGCCCACGGCAGGAAAACAUUCCUUGAGUUGAGCCAGGGAUGUGGGAAUUAUCACCUCCGUGGGAUUUGGCAUGUGGAAAAGCCCCUGGGAAAAGGUGGUUUGUGGCUGAACUCACCUGGGGCCAGGUGUAGAUGUAGCAGCCAACCCCCUCCAUGUCCCAAAAGAGGCAAUAUUGAACCUUCCAGUGCCUCAGCAGCUGGAAAAAGGGGAUUAUUCCAGGGGAUUAUCUCCUGGAAUAAAAACCCAGGAGAUUCCAGGCCUGCUCAGACAGCACAGGCUCCCAGUGUCGUUGGUUUUGAUAAGAAAGCCUUAAAAAAAAAAAAUGUUUAAAAUCCACUGAAUUUCUUCUGAAGCUCAAAUAACCUCGAGUUGAGUUGGAACUGGGUGAUCUUUAGGGGCCCUUCCAACCCAAACCAUCCUGGGCUUCUCUGACUCCUUGCCCUGGUGGGUGGAGAUUUUGGUUUUUUUAGGGAUUUUUUUUUAUUUUUUUUUUUUUUUUAGGAAUUGCAGGAGGAGGAGGAACUUCUUCAAACCAAAAAAUGGGCAAAGCGAUGAUGGCCUGGCCAUGGGGGGUUGUGGGUUAAUUCCUUGUGAUUCCUGAUUUCUCCUGGAUUUCUCACUCUCAGAGCUGCUGCAGGAGGGAGUGGUGGUGUCCGAAAUCUGAGUGAAAAUCAGGAUCUUCAGGCAUAAAAAGUAUUUUCUGUGGGGCUUUAUUUUUUUCAUUCUGUUUUCCAGACUCCACCCCGCAGCGCAGAUGAAUUUGUCAGCAUUGAAUUUGUACAGAUCCUUUCCCAAAGUAACUUCCUCUUAUCUCCUUUAAUACUUUACCCAAUAAUAUUUUAACGAUUUAAUUUUAUUUUAACCAUAGGAAUUUCAGAGUUGCAGAGGCUCUUUCUAAAUUUAUUGACUUGGAGAAAAAAAAAAAAACAAAAAACAAACCCUUGUUGAUACCAUAAAUACUCAUCUUGAUCUAGAUGAAUUCCUUAUUUUUGCACCAGAAUCCCUAAUUUUUUUGCAGUUUAAAGUGCACUUUUUCAUAAAAAAAAAAAAAAACUUAUAUUCCUGAUGAGUGUCUUAUGUGCUGAAAGGGAAAUUCUGCCAAAACUCCAGAGCUGAGGACGUUGUUAAUUCUUCGAGGUGUUCAUUGAAACCUGGGACCUGCUUCUGCUCAGUCUAUUUUUAAGACAAAAUAAGGGAGGAAAUACCUCCCCAGAGAUAGGAAUUGAUGAUGGGGAAUGAAACUAUCACUGCCCUUACAGAAAACUCCGUGGUACUUCCAAAUCCACCUUCAGGUUUUCGAUUGCACCAGCCUCUUAAAUCACAAAUGUUUACGUCGAUGAUCAGGGAGUGCCUUGUCCUGUGCUGGGCUCACGUUUGGGAGGCAGAAUGGUGGGGAUGGGGAUGGAUUUGCCCCGUGUGUGGCUGGAAAAAAAUUGGGCUGGAAACCCCUGAAUUGGUGGGAAUCCCCAUUUUUAUCCAUGGGUGCUCCUCAGAGACUGCACUGAGUUCCCCAGGUGUGCUCACACACACACAUGGACCUGAGGCAGCAAACAGAAUUUGUUGUUCCAUCCUCACUUUUGGUUGGGUUAACCCAAUUCCUGAAGGUUUUGCUGUUCCAUCCUCACUUUUGGUUGGAUUAACUCAACUCUUGAGAGCUUUGCUGUUCCAUUCUCACUUUUGGUUGGAUUAAUCCAACUUUUGCUUGGGUUAACCCAAUUCCUGAAGGUUUUGCUGUUCCAUCCUCACUUUUGGUUGGGUUAACCCAAUUCCUGAGGGUUUUGCUGUUCCAUCCUCACUUUUGGUUAGAUUAAUCCAACUUUUGGUUGGGUUAACCCAAUUCCUGAGGGUUUUUUGCGGUUCCAUCCUCACUUUUGGUUGGAAUAACCCAAUUCCUGAGGUUUUUUUGCUGUUCCAUUCUCACUUUUGGUUGGGUUAACUCAAUUCCUAAAGGUUUUGUUGUCCCAUCCUCACUUUUGGUUGGAUUAACCCAAUUCCUGAGGGUUUCUUUGUCCCAUCCUCACUUUUGCCUGGGUUAACUCAGUUCCUAAAGGUUUUUUGCUGUUCCAUCCUCACUUUUGGUUGGGUUAACCCAACUCCUGAGGGUUUUUUGCUGUCUCCUCUUGGAGCGAGGUGUUUGUCCUGACCCUUUCCCAGCCCUCGGGUCCCCUGCGUGUCCCUUGUGAAGCCACCCGGUGUCUGUGUGGCCACCUCAGGUGUCACCUCGUGCUUGUCAGGACUCUUGGAGCACCAAUCCCAGCCCGUUGGGGUUUCUGUUGUCUGUGUGUUCUUGCAGUGCCUUGUAAAUCCCAACAAUCCCAGAGGGGCUGUGGGGUCGGGGACCAGCGACGCGCUCCCAGCUUGUACUGCCAGACUGGACUUUGUACCUGAGGAUUUGAACCCCUGUUUCAAAGGAAAUAAAGAGUUUAACUCUGA
Vidua macroura (Pin-tailed whydah) is the source of this 2490-nucleotide long non-coding RNA. RefSeq lists it as uncharacterized. Lineage: Eukaryota; Metazoa; Chordata; Aves; Passeriformes; Viduidae. The record is from RefSeq and is a predicted model, not a curated record. The transcript has 2 exons.